AUUCAAAUGUCGGAAAUGGUAGACGAGGUAAUUUUAGGUGUUGCUGGGUGAAAUAUACCGUAAAGGUUCAAGUCCUUUUUUGAAUA
Molecule: transfer RNA, 86 nt
Filed under: Hapsidospora chrysogena
Lineage: Eukaryota; Fungi; Ascomycota; Sordariomycetes; Hypocreales; Bionectriaceae
Also listed under: 1 other name
Description: Acremonium chrysogenum tRNA-Leu
Rfam family: tRNA
About the family: Transfer RNA (tRNA) molecules are approximately 80 nucleotides in length. Their secondary structure includes four short double-helical elements and three loops (D, anti-codon, and T loops).
Source: RNAcentral